RNAcentral lists this ribosomal RNA (250 nucleotides) under uncultured Anaerococcus sp. RNAcentral describes it as "partial 16S ribosomal RNA". It matches the Rfam family "Bacterial small subunit ribosomal RNA", at positions 89 to 339 of the family's 1533-position model. Lineage: Bacteria; Bacillati; Bacillota; Tissierellia; Tissierellales; Peptoniphilaceae. The record is from RNAcentral.
GGAUUAGUGGCGAACGGGUGAGUAACGCGUGAGUAACCUGCCUUACACAAGGGGAUAGCCUUUGGAAACGAAGAAUAAUACCCUAUAAAACCAUAAAAGCACAUGCAAUUAUGGUCAAAGUGAUAGCGGUGUAAGAUGGACUUGCGUCUGAUUAGCUAGUUGGUGAGAUAAAAGCCCACCAAGGCAACGAUCAGUAGCCGGCUUGAGAGAGUGUACGGCCACAUUGGGACUGAGACACGGCCCAGACUCC